This is an RNA transcript of Lolium rigidum, 2895 nucleotides long. RefSeq lists it as uncharacterized. Lineage: Eukaryota; Viridiplantae; Streptophyta; Magnoliopsida; Poales; Poaceae. The transcript has 5 exons. The record is from RefSeq and is a predicted model, not a curated record.
UCCAAGACGCCACCCCGAUUCGACGCCAUCGCCGUUCGCCGCCGCAGUCGCGCCCUCCUCUCCUUCCCAAGCCGUCGUACGUGCUGGGGCUUCCAUUAGGGCCACAAGCCUCCGGUCGACCUCCAGAGGCCAGAGGGCGCAAAAGGGCGAGGACGAGCUGGUCGCGGAUCCACUUGAGGUCCACGGCAGCGUCACCAUUGCCAGAAGUUGCCGCACGCAGGAGGUUCAUGUGCGAGGGCGUGAGCGAUGCGGCGGAGGGCGCGCCGGCGGUCCGUGUGGGCAGAGGCAAUCACUCCAUUCCCUAUAUGUUCGUCCUGUCCCCACGUCCGGCCGUCCAUGGUCGCUGAGUUGAGGCUGCCCUCUCGCACCGCCAUCACGUGCACUGCCGCAAGCCUUCCCUGACCGAUCUCUUCCAUGGCCGGCCGAUGUGCUUUGGCUUCCAAGCUGCAGCUUCUCACCUAGACAACGUCGCUCCAUCUCACCGGCUGGUCAAGCAUUUGGCUGUUUAUCAUCAACCUCGCGGCUGGUCCGGCAUGCGGUGGCUCGAUGGCCGGCACUGCUGCUGCCUUCUCCUCAUCUGUGAGCGCACCGUCGGUUCCAAGCCACUCUGCUGCAGUCUAAUGAGUGGUCCUGCUGCGGCGUCCCACAUGGGCGAUGCUCAAUGGGCAGCUCAGCCUUCAGAAGGGGAUUUUACAGUAGCAUGGAGUUUUUGGCCUCCCCAUGUCAGGUAAAAGUCAGGCAGUUUUGAAUCUUUCUGGGUACACUUAUGGAUUGAUUUUGUUCGUAGUACAUGUAGUUAUUACGCCGCCAACUGUCAUAACUAUGUCAAAGAUUCAGCGAGAGAAAGAAGUAUAGAGACAAUCAUGGGAAGAAUAGCCAGAAUUUUGGAUCCUGUAGACCUCCCCUUGCUCUGGAUAUUGGGUUACUAUGAAAGCAAUUUCUGACAUGCUGAAUCAAUUGCUGGCUGGGCUGUAAGUUUUCUUGCCUUCUUUUUUUCCCACUCCGCAUCAAACUCUCCAACACGCCGGCAACUCUGAGGUGCGAACAAUUUAUCCUCUUCUCCGUUGACUCUCUGGUACAUAAAUAGGAUGUAUUGAUUUGACUGACUCAAAAGCCGAAUGUUCCCCUUGAUAAUUAAUGCAAUAACUUUGACUGUAUUUUCAUUAAAAAGUUUUUUGUAGUAAUUUAUUCAUAACAGGGCGCUCAUAGACUUCUAAUAUUUGCAAAUAAAAAAAUUAAAUUCCUUUUGCAGUUAUAGUUUAUGCCACCAGGUAGAGUAGAGACUUUUACCAUCCGCAAAUUAGAAAUUAAUUAUACAAGUCAUAAUGUUCUGUUUAAAGUUACAUGUUAUAUUCUACAGAUGAGUGAAGUCAAAAUUGAAGAGAAAAGUCAAUUAGUUGACGAAUAACUGACAUAGUUGGUGAAGUACAAUAAAGAUGUAAGUAUAUUGACAGAGGAUACGAAAUGGCUAGAUUGUCAAAUGAUAUAUAUGAAAGACAGCUAGCUUCAUGAAAGAUAUUCAGGAAAUAUUUAGGUGUCAAUAAAUAUUAGGCUACCCUUGAAGAAAUAUUUAAUUACUCAAUGAGGUUCAGGUGCUAAACCCCGGAUAUGCAAGCAACAUGAGUUUACUUCAGAUGUUGAUUUUCUUAAUCGUAUUAACUUCUCAGAGAAUUUACUUUUUUGAUCAGCAAAUAUCAGUCUAUUGUCGAGCAUGCCUUUCUUUGUAAAGAGGAAUUUUGAUCUCACACACUUUGCUCGAGUGAAGAUGCUAAAUGAUAAUGCAUUUCUGCUACAUUUCUCCCAAGAUUACCCAUUCAUGUCUUCGCAUAAAUGUUAUCUGUAAUUUGAACAAUGGAUCAACGGUGGAGAAACUGAACUAAUAGAGUGCACACCUAAACAUGGUUAAGUUGUGUGUGUUCCCUUAGAUUGCUCAACUUCAGUUAACUGAUUUGUCUUGCAACAUUGCCAGUACUUUUUUUGAGGGCUAAAAGGGAAGAUUUUAUUCAGAAAAGUGAUACGGUUGGUUACAGUGACUACAGUCACAUUCAUGGGAAACAUUGUUUUGCACCCCUUCAGCUGAAACACAACUCCAGUUCUGGUUAUUAGACAUACAGUUUCUGACUUCAUGCAAUAAUACCCCUCAGGUGCAUUCCAUGGAGAAAGGCCCAUGCUUCAGCUUCUUCAGCGUUGUUGCAGUUGUUCAGAACACUGCCUGCAGCAACUAUUGUUUUGCCCAGUUCGUUGUGAAUCUCCAUGCCUGUAGCUCCAUUGUUGUUGUCAGCAACGAAGGUGUACAUUUAGCCACCCAUGGGGAGGAGGUUCCCAGUGUUUGGUCAUCUCUGGUGCAUCCGUCAGAUAAGCAUACUGCUUUUGCGGAUCAAGCAGUCUUCUACUGUCUGCCAGGUCCUUUUGUUUGGGUGAAGGCGCACACAACUCCAACAGAUGACAAUACCUCAUAUCUUGGCAAUACAAUCACUACAUUUUAAUGUACUUUAUGGUGCCCAUUGCAACCAUACCAGCCACACACUACAUCUAAGUGCUACAGUUACAUCUCACGGAUCUGAUCCAAGUCUCCACUGAUGGUAACUGCAGAUUUCCAGUACUUGAUGUAUCUAUAGAGGCUAGUGCUAUCCCAGACUUAGUGUACUUUGCUUAGACAGUACUAUGAUUAGUCUCUACGUGUGUUUUAUGAUGGCUGUCAGAUUUAAUUUGUAACAUAGCCCGUUGUAUUAUUGCUUAUGGUUAUAAUCUCUUCCGCCAAAAUAAGUUCAUGUUUUCUCUGGUUUAACAUAGCCUGUUGUACCAGUCAGAGAAAAUUUAGGCGUUACAACUGUUUACUUUGUAUGGUUUCUAUUGGCUCACAAUUUCUCUAAGUACCGCUACUAAUUUCAUGCA